AAAGCCCGCUCGCCGGAAGACCAAGGGUUCCUGUCCAACGUUAAUCGGGGCAGGGUGAGUCGACCCCUAAGGCGAGGCCGAAAGGCGUAGUCGAUGGGAAACGGGUUAAUAUUCCCGUACUUGGUGUUACUGCGAAGGGGGGACGGAGAAGGCUAUGUUGGCCGGGCGACGGUUGUCCCGGUUUAAGCGUGUAGGUGUGUGUUCCAGGUAAAUCCGGUUCACUUUAACACUGAGGCGUGACGACGAGGCACUACGGUGCUGAAGCAACAAAUGCCCUGCUUCCAGGAAAAGCCUCUAAGCAUCAGGUAACAUCAAAUCGUACCCCAAACCGACACAGGUGGUCAGGUAGAGAAUACCAAGGCGCUUGAGAGAACUCGGGUGAAGGAACUAGGCAAAAUGGUGCCGUAACUUCGGGAGAAGGCACGCUGACACGUAGGUGAAGUGAUUUACUCACGGAGCUGAAGUCAGUCGAAGAUACCAGCUGGCUGCAACUGUUUAUUAAAAACACAGCACUGUGCAAACACGAAAGUGGACGUAUACGGUGUGACGCCUGCCCGGUGCCGGAAGGUUAAUUGAUGGGGUCAGCGCAAGCGAAGCUCCUGAUCGAAGCCCCGGUAAACGGCGGCCGUAACUAUAACGGUCCUAAGGUAGCGAAAUUCCUUGUCGGGUAAGUUCCGACCUGCACGAAUGGCGUAAUGAUGGCCAGGCUGUCUCCACCCGAGACUCAGUGAAAUUGAACUCGCUGUGAAGAUGCAGUGUACCCGCGGCAAGACGGAAAGACCCCGUGAACCUUUACUAUAGCUUGACACUGAACAUUGAGCCUUGAUGUGUAGGAUAGGUGGGAGGCUUUGAAGCGUGGACGCCAGUCUGCGUGGAGCCGACCUUGAAAUACCACCCUUUAAUGUUUGAUGUUCUAACGUGGACCCGUGAUCCGGGUUGCGGACAGUGUCUGGUGGGUAGUUUGACUGGGGCGGUCUCCUCCUAAAGAGUAACGGAGGAGCACGAAGGUUGGCUAAUCCUGGUCGGACAUCAGGAGGUUAGUGCAAUGGCAUAAGCCAGCUUGACUGCGAGCGUGACGGCGCGAGCAGGUGCGAAAGCAGGUCAUAGUGAUCCGGUGGUUCUGAAUGGAAGGGCCAUCGCUCAACGGAUAAAAGGUACUCCGGGGAUAACAGGCUGAUACCGCCCAAGAGUUCAUAUCGACGGCGGUGUUUGGCACCUCGAUGUCGGCUCAUCACAUCCUGGGGCUGAAGUAGGUCCCAAGGGUAUGGCUGUUCGCCAUUUAAAGUGGUACGCGAGCUGGGUUUAGAACGUCGUGAGACAGUUCGGUCCCUAUCUGCCGUGGGCGCUGGAGAACUGAGGGGGGCUGCUCCUAGUACGAGAGGACCGGAGUGGACGCAUCACUGGUGUUCGGGUUGUCAUGCCAAUGGCACUGCCCGGUAGCUAAAUGCGGAAGAGAUAAGUGCUGAAAGCAUCUAAGCACGAAACUUGCCCCGAGAUGAGUUCUCCCUGAGACUUAAAGUCUCCUGAAGGAACGUUGAAGACGACGACGUUGAUAGGCCGGGUGUGUAAGCGCAGCGAUGCGUUGAGCUAACCGGUACUAAUGAACCGUGAGGCUUAACCUUAC
RNAcentral lists this ribosomal RNA (1624 nucleotides) under Salmonella enterica. RNAcentral's name for it is "bacterial LSU rRNA". It matches the Rfam family "Bacterial large subunit ribosomal RNA", at positions 1325 to 2925 of the family's 2925-position model. The record is from RNAcentral. Lineage: Bacteria; Pseudomonadati; Pseudomonadota; Gammaproteobacteria; Enterobacterales; Enterobacteriaceae.